AGAGCGAACGCUGGCGGCGUGCUUAACACAUGCAAGUCGAGUGCGCAGUCUUCUGUAGCAAUACAGGAGACUGGCGCACGGCGCACGGGUGAGUAACACGUGGGCAACCUGCCCUGCAGAGGGGGAUAACCCGCCGAAAGGCGGGCUAAUACCGCAUGAAAUUCCGGUGGCUGCGGCUGCUGGAUUCAAAGUCCGCAAGGACGCUGGUGGGAGGGCCUGCGCCGAUUAGCUAGUUGGUGAGGUAACGGCUCACCAAGGCUAUGAUCGGUA
Molecule: ribosomal RNA, 270 nt
Filed under: uncultured bacterium
Lineage: Bacteria
Description: partial small subunit ribosomal RNA
Rfam family: Bacterial small subunit ribosomal RNA
Source: RNAcentral